RNAcentral lists this ribosomal RNA (448 nucleotides) under uncultured bacterium. RNAcentral describes it as "bacterial SSU rRNA". It matches the Rfam family "Bacterial small subunit ribosomal RNA", at positions 335 to 799 of the family's 1533-position model. The record is from RNAcentral.
ACUCCUACGGGAGGCAGCAGUGGGGAAUCUUGCGCAAUGGGCGAAAGCCUGACGCAGCAACGCCGCGUGGGGGAUGAAGGCUCUCGGGUUGUAAACCCCUUUCAGCAGGGACGAAUCAAGACGGUACCUGCAGAAGAAGCUCCGGCUAACUACGUGCCAGCAGCCGCGGUAACACGUAGGGGGCAAGCGUUGUCCGGAUUUAUUGGGCGUAAAGAGCUCGUAGGCGGCUGAGUAAGUCGGAUGUCAAAUACCCAGGCUCAACCUGGGUCUCCACCCGAUACUGCUCUGGCUAGAGUCCGGUAGGGGAGCGUGGAAUUCCUGGUGUAGCGGUGAAAUGCGCAGAUAUCAGGAGGAACACCAGCGGCGAAGGCGGCGCUCUGGGCCGGAACUGACGCUGAGGAGCGAAAGCGUGGGUAGCAAACAGGAUUAGAUACCCUGGUAGGCGUAG